Molecule: ribosomal RNA, 199 nt
Filed under: uncultured bacterium
Lineage: Bacteria
Description: partial 16S ribosomal RNA
Rfam family: Bacterial small subunit ribosomal RNA
Source: RNAcentral
GAUUGGAGUCUGCAACCCGACUCCAUGAAGCUGGAUUCGCUAGUAAUCGCGCAUCAGCCACGGCGCGGUGAAUACGUUCCCGGGCCUUGUACACACCGCCCGUCAAGCCAUGGGAGGCCGGGGGGUGCCUGAAGGCCGUGACCGCGAGGGUCGGCCUAGGGUGAAACCGGUGAUUGGGGCUAAGUCGUAACAAGGUAUC